This 112-nucleotide non-coding RNA is filed under the name marine eukaryotic metagenome. Its description in RNAcentral is "SAM riboswitch (S box leader)". It matches the Rfam family "SAM riboswitch aptamer (S box leader)". From Rfam's summary of the family: The SAM riboswitch is found upstream of a number of genes which code for proteins involved in methionine or cysteine biosynthesis in Gram-positive bacteria. The record is from RNAcentral.
CUCAUAAAGAGUGACGGAGGGACUGGCCCGAUGAUGUCACGGCAACCGGUUGAAACAGCGCGUUUCGAUGACCAGGUGCCAAAUCCAGCCGGCGAAAGCCGGGAAAGAUGAG